AGACGAGGGGAUGUGAAUGUAGU
Molecule: non-coding RNA, 23 nt
Filed under: Cricetulus griseus (Chinese hamster)
Lineage: Eukaryota; Metazoa; Chordata; Mammalia; Rodentia; Cricetidae
Source: RNAcentral